GACGAAGGGGGCUAGCGUUGUUCGGAAUUACUGGGCGUAAAGCGCGUGUAGGCGGUUGUUCAAGUCGGGUGUGAAAGCCUUGAGCUCAACUCAAGAAAUGCACUCGAUACUGGAUGACUAGAGGACCGGAGAGGAUAGUGGAAUUCCCAGUGUAGUGGUGAAAUACGUAGAGAUUGGGAAGAACACCAGUGGCGAAGGCGGCUAUCUGGACGGUUUCUGACGCUAAGACGCGAAAGCGUGGGGAGCAAACAGG
This 253-nucleotide ribosomal RNA is filed under the name uncultured bacterium. RNAcentral describes it as "partial 16S ribosomal RNA". It matches the Rfam family "Bacterial small subunit ribosomal RNA", at positions 524 to 776 of the family's 1533-position model. The record is from RNAcentral.